UUAGACUAAUGCCUAGGGAUUUGCAUUUUAAACAUGCAGUGCUGCCCGUUUUCUUCAAACCAGUUUGAUAAGUAACUUUGUUAGAUUUUAGAUACUAGGUUAAGAGUCUGAAAACAGUUUGAGAAUUUUAAGGCAAGGAAAGAGAUGCGUUUUUGAAAAAAGGAAAAUUAGCAAUUGUGCUUCAAAUAGUGGCAGAGAAAACAUUGGGACAAAUAAGAGCAAAAAUUAUGAAUAUGGUAGUAGGCUUGAUGAUUGGUUAAAUAGAGAACAAAGUAUUUUUCAACUUUAUAAAGCUCUAUUUUCACGGGAACACAGAAGGUUGUGCAGACGUCGGUAGCUACGUGGACAGGAAGUUGUAGACGGUCACGCCCUCGUCUCAGUUCUUCCGGGUGUAACAGAGUUGAACACCUACACUGACACAUGCCCUACGCUCCAGUGAGGACCGCUCAUUCUCCGCUUGGUGUCGCUCGAAGCAUCUUCUGUUUACAGGUAGAGAUGCAGUCAAAGAAGUGUGUGAAGAGAGGGGUAAAUAAAAUACCAACUUCUUGGCCAGAAGUGUGAAAGGGCAAGCCCUAGAAAAUGGGCAUCCAACAUAGGCCCGGCAGUGAUUGAGGGCACUGAGGAAUCAGCACUGAGUAAAACAGGCAAUGAUUCUGAAUAAAGGCAAAAGAAAAUUCAACAAAGAAAUCAUGGGAUGCAAAAGUUGACGAUUAAGAUGUGGAAAUGGAGUCAGUGCCAGGAAG
Long non-coding RNA from Fukomys damarensis (Damara mole-rat), 743 nucleotides. RefSeq lists it as uncharacterized. The record is from RefSeq and is a predicted model, not a curated record. The transcript has 4 exons. NCBI's taxonomy places the organism in Eukaryota, Metazoa, Chordata, Mammalia, Rodentia, Bathyergidae.